UACGGGGGGGGCAAGCGUUAUCCGGAUUCACUGGGUUUAAAGGGUGCGUAGGCGGGCAGGUAAGUCAGUGGUGAAAUCUCCGGGCUUAACCCGGAAACUGCCGUUGAUACUAUCUGUCUUGAAUAUCGUGGAGGUAAGCGGAAUAUGUCAUGUAGCGGUGAAAUGCUUAGAUAUGACAUAGAACACCCAUUGCGAAGGCAGCUUACUACACGAUCAUUGACGCUGAGGCACGAAAGCGUGGGGAGCAAACAGG
Molecule: ribosomal RNA, 253 nt
Filed under: uncultured bacterium
Lineage: Bacteria
Description: partial 16S ribosomal RNA
Rfam family: Bacterial small subunit ribosomal RNA
Source: RNAcentral